RNAcentral lists this ribosomal RNA (635 nucleotides) under uncultured bacterium. RNAcentral describes it as "bacterial SSU rRNA". It matches the Rfam family "Bacterial small subunit ribosomal RNA", at positions 8 to 639 of the family's 1533-position model. The record is from RNAcentral.
AGAGUUUGAUUAUGGCUCAGGAUGAACGCUGGCGGCGUGCUUAACACAUGCAAGUCGAACGGGGUACCCUUGACAGAGGCUUCGGCCAAUUGAUAGGAAUACCUAGUGGCGGACGGGUGAGUAACGCGUGAGGAACCUGCCUUGGAGUGGGGAAUAACAGUUAGAAAUAGCUGCUAAUACCGCAUAAUGCAACUAAGUCGCAUGGCUUUGGUUGCCAAAGAUUUAUCGCUCUAAGAUGGCCUCGCGUCUGAUUAGAUAGUUGGCGGGGUAACGGCCCACCAAGUCGACGAUCAGUAGCCGGACUGAGAGGUUGGCCGGCCACAUUGGGACUGAGACACGGCCCAGACUCCUACGGGAGGCAGCAGUGGGGAAUAUUGGGCAAUGGGCGCAAGCCUGACCCAGCAACGCCGCGUGAAGGAAGAAGGCCCUCGGGUUGUAAACUUCUUUUAUUCGGGACGAAACAAAUGACGGUACCGAAUGAAUAAGCCACGGCUAACUACGUGCCAGCAGCCGCGGUAAUACGUAGGUGGCAAGCGUUAUCCGGAUUUACUGGGUGUAAAGGGCGUGUANGCGGGAGAGCAAGUCAGACGUGAAAUUCCGGGGCUCAACCCUGGAACUGCGUUUGAAACUGUUCU